RNAcentral lists this ribosomal RNA (253 nucleotides) under uncultured bacterium. Its description in RNAcentral is "partial 16S ribosomal RNA". It matches the Rfam family "Bacterial small subunit ribosomal RNA", at positions 524 to 776 of the family's 1533-position model. The record is from RNAcentral.
UACGUAGGGACCGAGCGUUGUCCGGAUUCAUUGGGCGUAAAGAGCUCGUAGGCGGCUGCUCAAGUCGAAUGUGAAACCUCGAGGCUUAACCUCGAGCCUGCAUUCGAUACUGGGCGGCUAGAGUCUGGUAGGGGGAUCUGGAAUUCCUGGUGUAGCGGUGAAAUGCGCAGAUAUCAGGAGGAACACCGAUUGCGAAGGCAGCUCGCUGGAACGUUACUGACGCUGAGACGCGAAAGCAUGGGGAGCGAACAGG